CCGUCUGGAAAUCUCCCAACCUACGACCGAUUGGCAAGCAGCAAGAAGCAUGAUAACAAACACCUUGUGUCCGAUGUGUGGCACGAGCUCGGAAACAAUAGCACACACUUUCUAUUUUCGUGAUUUUUUCAGGUAGAUUCUGCAGGAGUCUUUAGCGCUCAACGGCGGCCUAAUUCACUUAGCAGCAAAUCCAUAUUUCGAGUAAUUGGCAACAACAAUUGAGAAGCUGACGAAAAGAUCACUGAUUUGUGGCCUCCACUGGACUUGCCUAGCGGUGACUUCAUAUAUGGUUUAUAUGGAAGGAAAGGAAUAAUCGAUACAAGAGGAACAAACAACAAUUAAGAGAAUCAAUCUUAAGCCAAUGUGUCAACCAACACCAAUGACAUUGGAUUUCGGGAGAACAGGUACAUGAAGCUUCUCUAUGUAAAGAGUUAAAAUACUAUAAGGGCUAUCUUAUAAAUGUACCCAUAAUAUGAAGUAUAAAUAUAGGCUUAAUGUGUAAUAAUAUGGUUUAAGUUGAAUGUUACAUUUUGGUGAGUCAAUUAAAGAGUAAAAGAUUCUUGCUUUACUCUUCUUCUUCUAGUUGACCUAACAACUUCCAUCCACCCCCUUUCUUCUAUCUUCUUCUUCUAUCACUUUCUUGUUAAUUGAUGGUUAUAAAGGAAACCUCUCCAGAUUUCUACAUGGUAUCGAGAGCUUCAAUUUUUGCAAUCAAAACUAGGGCACGGCUUCUGUGAUCAAAGGUUGGAGCGGUUUUUUUUUCCGGCUACAGCGCGGCUACAACGCGUGGUUUUUUCUCGCCGAUUGAUUGCAAUCUGCGAUUGCAACUCUGGUUUGAAUUUUAUCUGUUAUUUACAAUUGUUAUUUGCGUGUCUGCAUCUGUCUGAUUCCGUCGAUUUGAGUUUAUCAGUUAUCGUUUUUUUUCCCCCCUUUCUCUGCAAAUUUAUCAGUUAUCUCUCGCGAUCGUUAAUUUCUUAUCGAUCUGCUUGCGAUCUGUUUGCGAUCUGCUUGCGAUUGCGAUCUGCUUCUAAUUUCUAAUUAUGUCCCGAUUUCGAUCUGCUUGCGAUCUAAUUUCUAAUUCUGCUUGCGACCUGCUUGUGACCUGAUUUCGAUCUGCUUGCGAUCUGCUUGCGACCUAAUUUCUAAUUCUGUCCCGAUUGCGAUCUGUUUGCGAUCCUCACUUGCGAUGUUUGAUUUCUGAUUUCUGAUUUCUGAUUUCUGUCAUAGAUCGGUGCUAGUAAUUCGAUGUUUAAUUUCUGUGAUUACGUGUUCAUUAAUUUCAGUUUUCUGUAAUUUUUUGUUUGGAUUUUUGUUCAUUAAUUUCUGUAAUUACGUGUUCAUUGAUUUCAUUAAUUUCAGAUUACGUGUGUG
This 1371-nucleotide long non-coding RNA is filed under the name Zostera marina. Its description in RNAcentral is "long non-coding RNA (ZMAR_LNC005500)". Lineage: Eukaryota; Viridiplantae; Streptophyta; Magnoliopsida; Alismatales; Zosteraceae. The record is from RNAcentral.